UACGUAGGGUGCAAGCGUUGUCCGGAAUUAUUGGGCGUAAAGAGCUCGUAGGCGGUCUGUCGCGUCGGAUGUGAAAAUCCAGGGCUCAACCCUGGACCUGCAUUCGAUACGGGCAGACUAGAGUUCGGUAGGGGAGACUGGAAUUCCUGGUGUAGCGGUGAAAUGCGCAGAUAUCAGGAGGAACACCGGUGGCGAAGGCGGGUCUCUGGGCAGUAACUGACGCUGAGGAGCGAAAGCGUGGGGAGCGAACAGG
This 253-nucleotide ribosomal RNA is filed under the name uncultured bacterium. RNAcentral's name for it is "partial 16S ribosomal RNA". It matches the Rfam family "Bacterial small subunit ribosomal RNA", at positions 524 to 776 of the family's 1533-position model. The record is from RNAcentral.